UGCUGUCUAUCUUGACGAAUACCUUUGAUGUUAAUUAUAUAAUUUUUGCACGAUAGGUUACAUAUUACAAGAUAACAUGUACCAUCAAUAUAUACAUCAUAAUUCUUUUAGUAAGUUAAUUAUGCCGCUGCAAAAGGACUAAUUAUGUUAUUUGAUGAAAAUAAUUAUAUGUGUAAAUUUAAUAUCUAUAACCUAAUUAUUUUACAUUAAAGAAUAUAGUUAUAAGGAUCAACUAGACACGUUUUUUUCUUUUCCUUUUUUUUUUCCAGUUAGACACACUUAAAUCAUUAAAAG
RNAcentral lists this long non-coding RNA (294 nucleotides) under Brassica rapa (field mustard). Its description in RNAcentral is "long non-coding RNA (BRAP_LNC007782)". The record is from RNAcentral. Lineage: Eukaryota; Viridiplantae; Streptophyta; Magnoliopsida; Brassicales; Brassicaceae.